CUUGGUCAUUUAGAGGAAGUAAAAGUCGUAACAAGGUUUCCGUAGGUGAACCUGCGGAAGGAUCAUUAUCGUACAACCGAGGUGCAUGGGCUGUCGCUGACCUUCAAAGGUUGUGCGCGCCCAAGCGCUCUCACACAUCCAUCUCACCUUUGUGCAUCACCGCGUGGGUCCCCUUUGCAGGAGGGCUUGCGUUUUCACAUAAAACUUGAUACAGUGUAGAAUGUUUUAUUUGCGGUCACACGCAAUCAAUACAACUUUCAACAACGGAUCUCUUGGCUCUCGCAUCGAUGAAGAACGCAGCGAAAUGCGAUACGUAAUGUGAAUUGCAGAAUUCAGUGAAUCAUCGAAUCUUUGAACGCACCUUGCGCCCCUUGGUAUUCCGAGGGGCACACCCGUUUGAGUGUCGUGAAAAUCUCAACCUUCUCGGUUUCUUCUGAACACCGAAGGAGGCUUGGACUUUGGAGGCCUUUGCUGGUGUCUCUCACCAGCUCCUCUCAAAUGAAUUAGCGGGGUCCUCUUUGCCGAUCCUCGACAUGUGAUAAGAUGUUUCCAUGUCUUGGCUUUAUGGCUCUGUUGCCUUUGGGACCCGCUUCUAACCGUCUCAGCGAGACAACGUUCGAGCGUGUCUCCCCUCUCGGGGAAACACUCUUGAACCCACGAAACCUUGACCUCAAAUCGGGUGAGACUACCCGCUGAACUUAAGCAUAUCAAUAAGCGGAGGA
Molecule: ribosomal RNA, 722 nt
Filed under: uncultured Laccaria
Lineage: Eukaryota; Fungi; Basidiomycota; Agaricomycetes; Agaricales; Tricholomataceae
Description: eukaryotic LSU rRNA
Rfam family: 5.8S ribosomal RNA (bases 253-406)
Source: RNAcentral